RNAcentral lists this ribosomal RNA (478 nucleotides) under uncultured Alphaproteobacteria bacterium. Its description in RNAcentral is "bacterial SSU rRNA". It matches the Rfam family "Bacterial small subunit ribosomal RNA", at positions 89 to 602 of the family's 1533-position model. Lineage: Bacteria; Pseudomonadati; Pseudomonadota; Alphaproteobacteria. The record is from RNAcentral.
UACUGAGUGGCAGACGGGUGAGUAACAUGUGGGAAUCUGCCUUGUGGUUCAGGACAACAUUGGGAAACCGAUGCUAAUACUGGAUAAGCCCUUACGGGGAAAGUUUUAAUGCCAUAAGAUGAGCCCGCAUUUGAUUAGUUAGUUGGUGAGGUAAUGGCUCACCAAGACAAUGAUCAAUAGCUGAUCUGAGAGGAUGAUCAGCCACACUGGGACUGAGACACGGCCCAGACUCCUACGGGAGGCAGCAGUGGGGAAUCUUGCACAAUGGAGGAAACUCUGAUGCAGCGAUGCCGCGUGAGUGAAGAAGGCCUUUGGGUUGUAAAGCUCUUUUGUAGGGGAAGAUAAUGACUGUACCCUAAGAAUAAGGUCCGGCUAACUUCGUGCCAGCAGCCGCGGUAAUACGAAGGGACCUGGCGUAGUUCGGAAUUACUGGGCGUAAAGCGCGCGUAGGCCGUUGAGUUAGUUAAUUGUGAAAUCC